CUACGGGGGGCUCCAGUGGGGAAUAUUGGAUAAUGGGCGCAAGCCUGAUCCAGCAAUGCCGCGUGUGUGAAGAAGGCCUGCGGGCUGUAAAGCACUUUCAGUAGGGAAGAAAAGCGAGAGGUUAAUACCCUUGAGCCGUGACGUUACCUACAGAAGAAGCACCGGCUAACUCCGUGCCAGCAGCCGCGGUAAUACGGAGGGUGCGGCGGUAAUCGGAAUUACUGGGCGUAAAGCGCGCGUAGGUGGUUUGGUAAGUCGGAUGUGAAAGCCCCGGGCUUAACCUGGGAAUUGCAUUCGAUACUGCUUGACUUGAGUGGGGUAGAGGGUAGCGGAAUUCCUGGUGUAGCGGUGUAAUGCGUAGAUAUCAGGAGGAACAUCAGUGGCGAAGGCGGCUAUCUGGACCAACACUGACACUGAGGUGCGAAAGCGUGGGUAGCAAACAGGAUUAAUACCCCCGUAGUC
Molecule: ribosomal RNA, 462 nt
Filed under: uncultured bacterium
Lineage: Bacteria
Description: partial 16S ribosomal RNA
Rfam family: Bacterial small subunit ribosomal RNA
Source: RNAcentral